RNAcentral lists this ribosomal RNA (195 nucleotides) under Triticum aestivum (bread wheat). Its description in RNAcentral is "partial small subunit ribosomal RNA". The record is from RNAcentral. Lineage: Eukaryota; Viridiplantae; Streptophyta; Magnoliopsida; Poales; Poaceae.
AUGGAUAUGUUUAACUCUGUUAUUAAUGCUUUUGGGCUGAGAGAGAUUUUUUGCAGUGGUCGCAAGUACACCUGGACCAACAAUCAAUCCCAUCCCACUUUAGAAAAGCUAGACAGGAUUCUGAUGUCUAGUGACUGGGAGGACCUUUUUCCUCUAGUGACAGUUAGGAAGCUGGUUCGAGAGCUAUCUGACCAU